UACGUAGGUGGCAAGCGUUGUCCGGAUUUACUGGGCGUAAAGAGCGCGCAGGCGGUCGUGCAAGUCGCGUGUGAAAGCCCCCGGCUCAACUGGGGAGGGUCACGCGAUACUGCUCGACUCGAAGGCAGGAGAGGGAAGUGGAAUUCCCGGUGUAGUGGUGAAAUGCGCAGAUAUCAGGAGGAACACCAAUUGCGAAGGCAGCUCGCUGGGACGUAACUGACGCUGAGACGCGAAAGCGUGGGGAGCAAACAGG
RNAcentral lists this ribosomal RNA (253 nucleotides) under uncultured bacterium. Its description in RNAcentral is "partial 16S ribosomal RNA". It matches the Rfam family "Bacterial small subunit ribosomal RNA", at positions 524 to 776 of the family's 1533-position model. The record is from RNAcentral.